Molecule: non-coding RNA, 578 nt
Organism: Ictidomys tridecemlineatus (thirteen-lined ground squirrel)
Lineage: Eukaryota; Metazoa; Chordata; Mammalia; Rodentia; Sciuridae
Source: RefSeq, a predicted model, not a curated record
CAACAGCAGGGCUCAACUGUGACUUUGGAACCCAGCAUGUGGUUUCUGUGUCUGAAGCCUGAGAUAUGUGGCCAUCACCUCUUCAUCCACUUUUCCAUUGAACAAGGACUCCUGGAUCCCAUCAGGAAUAUGAGCACAGAGUCUCCUGCAUCUUCCAUGAGGAAUACGUCCUAAAGCAUCGCCAAGACACCUGCCUCCAUGGGGAAGAAUUUGAAGAGGACUCCCAGGAACCCUACAGCUUCAGUGGAUCAUUGUGCUCCUCAACCCACCGCAGAUCUGGGCACAUGCAUCCAGCAGGAUACCUCCACUCUCAGCCUCCUGUGAGCCACGCCCACCUGGGGCAGCAGCAGGCAGCAAAGGUGACCCCAAGUCCCCAGGCCUCCUCUCCUGCAUGCUGCCGUCCUCCUCACCUCCGCUCCCGUGCUCCAUCACAACGUAGCUGUCCUCACCUGUCUGGAUAACAUGGAACAGCUGGAUGACAUUGGGUGACUCGAGCUUCCACUGGGUUCUCUCCUGUCAAUACUCUGUGGGGGACGGAGCUCUGCUGUCCUUUCUGAAUGACAUUCAUGGACACCCGG